RNAcentral lists this ribosomal RNA (966 nucleotides) under uncultured bacterium. RNAcentral's name for it is "bacterial SSU rRNA". It matches the Rfam family "Bacterial small subunit ribosomal RNA", at positions 54 to 1019 of the family's 1533-position model. The record is from RNAcentral.
CAUGCAAGUCGAACGAGAAUCACUGGAAGGAGUUUUCGGACAACGGAAGGUGAGGACAGUGGCGGACGGGUGAGUAACGCGUGAGGAACCUGCCUUUCAGAGGGGGACAACAGUUGGAAACGACUGCUAAUACCGCAUGACACAUAGAGAUCGCAUGGUUUUUAUGUCAAAGAUUUAUCGCUGAAAGAUGGCCUCGCGUCUGAUUAGCUAGUUGGUGAGGUAACGGCCCACCAAGGCGACGAUCAGUAGCCGGACUGAGAGGUUGACCGGCCACAUUGGGACUGAGAUACGGCCCAGACUCCUACGGGAGGCAGCAGUGGGGAAUAUUGGGCAAUGGGCGCAAGCCUGACCCAGCAACGCCGCGUGAAGGAAGAAGGCUUUCGGGUUGUAAACUUCUUUUAAGAGGGAAGAGCAGAAGACGGUACCUCUAGAAUAAGCCACGGCUAACUACGUGCCAGCAGCCGCGGUAAUACGUAGGUGGCAAGCGUUGUCCGGAUUUACUGGGUGUAAAGGGCGUGCAGCCGGGUCUGCAAGUCAGAUGUGAAAUCCAUGGGCUCAACCCAUGAACUGCAUUUGAAACUGUAGAUCUUGAGUGUCGGAGGGGCAAUCGGAAUUCCUAGUGUAGCGGUGAAAUGCGUAGAUAUUAGGAGGAACACCAGUGGCGAAGGCGGAUUGCUGGACGAUAACUGACGGUGAGGCGCGAAAGUGUGGGGAGCAAACAGGAUUAGAUACCCUGGUAGUCCACACUGUAAACGAUGAAUACUAGGUGUGCGGGGACUGACCCCCUGCGUGCCGCAGUAAACACAAUAAGUAUUCCACCUGGGGAGUACGAUCGCAAGGUUGAAACUCAAAGGAAUUGACGGGGGCCCGCACAAGCGGUGGAUUAUGUGGUUUAAUUCGAAGCAACGCGAAGAACCUUACCAGGGUUUGACAUCCUGCUAACGAAGUAGAGAUACAUUAGGUGCC